GAUGAACGCUCGCGGGAGGCCUAACACAUGCAAGCCGAGCGGUAUUUGUUCUUCGGAACAGAGAGAGCGGCGCACGGGUGCGGAACACGUGUGCAACCUGCCUUUAUCUGGGGGAUAGCCUUUCGAAAGGAAGAUUAAUACCCCAUAAUAUAUUGAGUGGCAUCAUUUGAUAUUGAAAACUCCGGUGGAUAGAGAUGGGCACGCGCAAGAUUAGAUAGUUGGUGAGGUAACGGCUCACCAAGUCAAUGAUCUUUAGGGGGCCUGAGAGGGUGAUCCCCCACACUGGUACUGAGACACGGACCAGACUCCUACGGGAGGCAGCAGUGAGGAAUAUUGGACAAUGGGUUAGCGCCUGAUCCAGCCAGCCCGCGUGAAGGACGACGGCCCUAUGGGUUGUAAACUUCUUUUGUAUAGGGAUAAACCUACUCUCGGGAGAGUAGCUGAAGGUACUAUACGAAUAAGCACCGGCUAACUCCGUG
RNAcentral lists this ribosomal RNA (479 nucleotides) under uncultured bacterium. RNAcentral describes it as "partial 16S ribosomal RNA". It matches the Rfam family "Bacterial small subunit ribosomal RNA", at positions 28 to 507 of the family's 1533-position model. The record is from RNAcentral.